UUCUCCAACAAGGCUAUACUUAUUCCAACGAGGCCACACCUCCAAACAGUGCCACUCCUUGUAUCAAGCACAUACAUCCCACCAUAGAGUUAGAAAAUAUUUGGUUAACAAAAUUUACACAGCAUCAUUCAGUGUGUGUGAGAAUGAUAGACUGAACCAGAUCUUGGGGGACAGUAUUUAGCAUUUGAGUUCACAGCAACAUCAGACCAAACCCCAACAUUGUACAUCUUUGUUCAUAUCUCCCCUUUGCUGCUCAACAGCAACACAUUUUAUACUGGCUAGUCUUCCUGACACCCAGUCUUCUCCUCUGUAUGGAAAAUAUUGGUGUCACGGCAAGGCAUUGUGGUGAAGGGCCUAUGGAUUGUGAUGGAUGAUGGCAGCUUUUCUCUUUCCUUCUGAUGAGAAGAUUAGAGUCCAAAGAACUGAAUAAGAAUUUUCAAGAAGCUUAAGACAACUUCAUAAUGGGGGAGGGGGAGGGGAGGAGUAAGAUUAGAAUUCCAAAAAGAAGAGGACAUCACAAUCCUGUCUGUAGAAUUUUGAAUUUUAAGGUCUGUCAUGGGAAUUAUCACUGGAGCACAAAGGUACAAGUGGGCCUAAUGGAGGUGUGUAAUCUGAAGUUACAUGGGGGAGGACUAAAGGUCCUUGAGAGAGAGAGACACAAACGAGGAAACAUUAAGAGAGGUGAAUGGAUCAUUCCACACUCAUUCUCUCUCACAGAUCACAUAGUCACACACAGGCUGGUAGUCUGCUACAACAGGCUUUAGGUUAUGAAAAAAUAUGAAGAUAGUAUUAAUGUUUUAGAUAGGAGAAAAAGUGUGAUCGUUCUGAAAAGAAUUUUGUAAUCCCCUCCUAUCUUUUAUCCCCAAAUACUGAAGUAGCCAAAUAGCACCAAGUUCUGAAAACCAAACACAAAUUUUCAUUUUAAAACUGGUAAUGGGCCAGAGAAAAAUCACUCCGUUGUUAAAAACAUUCGCUACUCAAGCCUGGUGCCCUGAGAAGAGUGAGAGGAUGGACUUCACGAUUUUCUCUUUGAGUUGCCACGUGAAUGUCUUGGCGUGCACGCACACACCUCAGCAGUGGCACUGCACCAAACCACACUGUGCCACACUUCACUGCGCCACGUCCCUCCACGCCACACCACCUCAAACCACUCUGCUCUGCUCUUCAGGACACCACUCCAUUAUGCACGCACACAGACACACAUGCAUGGGCAGGCACACACAUGCCAUAGCCGCUAUUACUUUCCCCCACUACCAUCAACAAUAAAAAUAAGUCGACAAUCUGAAAUCACAAUCAUUCAAAACCAGAUCAUGAUUCACUGAAUAUCUGACUUUCAGAAAAUGCUGUUAUUUCAUACCAUAACAUCAGUUUGUACAGGUAGAAAUGUUAAGCUUUUAUGAGUUCAAAACCAUCUCUCUGUUUAUGUUCUGAAAGUGCUUCUCGAAUUUUUAGUCACUGCAUCCUGAUAGUUCAUUAAAGUUCAUGAUGCAGAUUCUGGGCUGAGUGUUAUUUUUGUUAAUGAGGGUAAAUCCCAUUAAAAAAAUAUCCUAAGUAAAAUGUAGUGCUUUUCUAAGCAUCACUGUCACCUGGUAAUCAUUUCAAACCAGAUGUGCUUAAGCCUCUCUCCAAUAAUUUCCCAGGAGACAAUGCUAGUGUUGAUUUUCUGUACACACUGUGAAAACUAUUGCUUGAACAGUUAGCAUCAGGAACAUUGUGUCAUAUGAGAUCACUAUUGACACCACCUUUCCAAAAUUCAGAGAUCCCUGGCACAGAUCAUAAAGUAUAAUCUAAUCUCUUCAGAAAGUGCUGUGUUGUGUCUGGAAACCUGGCCAAAGCCUACAUACAUCCUGCCUCAGCUUUCCUGAUCUUCGGGUUAAAGCAUCACUGAUUUGUGACUUAUACGGUGCCCUGGCUUCAAGAAGAUCUUUCUCAGUUAUCUUUCUCUUCCAAUGAUAAGAAAUUCUCCUGCAUUAUACAGGAACGACUGCAGAUGCAUUACCACAACUUUGCAGAAAUCUUCCUAAUCUGAAAAACAAACCACAUUUAAUUUAUCAGAAAUGUACAUAUGAAUACAAGUGCCCUCAGGAGUAGAGGCAUCAAAUCCUCAUUGGAGUUAACAAGUUUCUGGAACUUUGAACACAGUAUGUGAAAGAAAUGGCGGAGAGGCAGUUGGAGCAUCUGGUUCGGUUGCCGAGACAGGAUCCUAGCAUAAUC
Molecule: small RNA, 2214 nt
Filed under: Rattus norvegicus (Norway rat)
Lineage: Eukaryota; Metazoa; Chordata; Mammalia; Rodentia; Muridae
Description: uncharacterized LOC108350669
Source: RNAcentral